RNAcentral lists this ribosomal RNA (365 nucleotides) under uncultured bacterium. RNAcentral describes it as "bacterial SSU rRNA". It matches the Rfam family "Bacterial small subunit ribosomal RNA", at positions 28 to 356 of the family's 1533-position model. The record is from RNAcentral.
GACGAACGCUGGCGGCGUGCCUAAUACAUGCAAGUCGAACGCACUCUCGUUUAGAUUGAAGGAGCUUGCUCCUGAUUGAUAAACAUUUGAGUGAGUGGCGGACGGGUGAGUAACACGUGGGUAACCUGCCCUAAAGUGGGGGAUAACAUUUGGAAACAGAUGCUAAUACCGCAUAAAACCUAACAUCGCAUGGGUGUAGGGUUGAAAGAUGGGUUUCGGCUAUCACUUUAGGAUGGACCCGCGGUGCAUUAGUUAGUUGGUGAGGUAAAGGCUCACCAAGACCGUGAUAGCAUAGCCGACCUGAGAGGGUAAUCGGCCACACUGGGACUGAGACACGGCCCAGACUCCUACGGGAGGCAGCAGUA